AGAAUACCUGCUACAAAUUAUAGUGAUAAAGAAAGAAAUUAUAUAGCUAGAGGAAAAGUUAGACCUUUAGAACCUAAAAUAGAAUUUCAGACACCUCAUAAACCACAAUUAUUAAAUAUUACAGCACAUGAUCCCCAGAUGUGGAAUAAUACAAUAGAAGUUUGGAAGAACACGGUAAUAGGUCAUUAUAUUAGAUUAGCAGAAAAUAUGGAACCAUUAGAAAUGUAUAGAUAUUUAGAAACUUUUUUAGGAGAAAGUACUAAAGCUACAUGGGAAGCUUAUAAAAGAGAUAAACAAUCAGAAUUUGAAGCAUUAGUUUUAUUAGGAAAUAAUCCUUAUAAUUUCUUUAGUAAAAUACAUGAAUUAUUAACAGGAGCAGAUCCUAAUACAGGACAUUUAAUAAUUCAAAAUAAAGCUAUAAGAAAUUUAGAACAACUUAGUUUAAAUAGAUGGACUAAUGGUAAAGAGGUUAAACAAUUUUUAAAUGAAUAUUAUUAUUUAGUCUCUAUCUCAGGAAAUACUUUUAAUCAAGAAUUAGGUAAAAAAUUAUUUCAUAAAUUACCAGGACCUUUAGGAUUAGAAAUAACAAAGAAAUGGAAUGAAAAUAAAAAUGUUAAAGAAAGAC
Molecule: long non-coding RNA, 625 nt
Filed under: Olea europaea subsp. europaea
Lineage: Eukaryota; Viridiplantae; Streptophyta; Magnoliopsida; Lamiales; Oleaceae
Source: RNAcentral